AGCCCUCACUUGGAUUCGAACCAAGAACCAUCCGCUUUGCAGGCGUAUGCUCUUCCAUUGAGCUAUAAAGGC
This 72-nucleotide transfer RNA is filed under the name Terrestrivirus sp. RNAcentral describes it as "tRNA-Cys". Lineage: Varidnaviria; Bamfordvirae; Nucleocytoviricota; Megaviricetes; Imitervirales; Mimiviridae. The record is from RNAcentral.